UACGUAGGGGGCAAGCGUUGUCCGGAAUCAUUGGGCGUAAAGCGCGUGUAGGCGGCUCGAUAAGUCUGCUGUGAAAGUCCAGGGCUCAACCCUGGAAUGCCGGUGGAAACUGUCGAGCUAGAGUCCGGAAGAGGCGAGUGGAAUUCCUGGUGUAGCGGUGAAAUGCGCAGAUAUCAGGAGGAACACCAAUGGCGAAGGCAGCUCGCUGGGACGGUACUGACGCUGAGACGCGAAAGCGUGGGGAGCGAACAGG
This 253-nucleotide ribosomal RNA is filed under the name uncultured bacterium. Its description in RNAcentral is "partial 16S ribosomal RNA". It matches the Rfam family "Bacterial small subunit ribosomal RNA", at positions 524 to 776 of the family's 1533-position model. The record is from RNAcentral.